Molecule: ribosomal RNA, 494 nt
Filed under: uncultured bacterium
Lineage: Bacteria
Description: partial 16S ribosomal RNA
Rfam family: Bacterial small subunit ribosomal RNA
Source: RNAcentral
ACGAACGCUGGCGGCGUGCCUAAUACAUGCAAGUAGAACGCUGAAGGAGGAGCUUGCUUCUCUGGAUGAGUUGCGAACGGGUGAGUAACGCGUAGGUAACCUGCCUGGUAGCGGGGGAUAACUAUUGGAAACGAUAGCUAAUACCGCAUAAGAGUAGAUGUUGCAUGACAUUUGCUUAAAAGGUGCAAUUGCAUCACUACCAGAUGGACCUGCGUUGUAUUAGCUAGUUGGUGAGGUAACGGCUCACCAAGGCGACGAUACAUAGCCGACCUGAGAGGGUGGUCGGCCACACUGGGACUGAGACACGGCCCAGACUCCUACGGGAGGCAGCAGUAGGGAAUCUUCGGCAAUGGACGGAAGUCUGACCGAGCAACGCCGCGUGAGUGAAGAAGGUUUUCGGAUCGUAAAGCUCUGUUGUAAGAGAAGAACGAGUGUGAGAGUGGAAAGUUCACACUGUGACGGUAUCUUACCAGAAAGGGACGGCUAACUACGUG